This is a non-coding RNA of Prunus avium (sweet cherry), 511 nucleotides long. Lineage: Eukaryota; Viridiplantae; Streptophyta; Magnoliopsida; Rosales; Rosaceae. The record is from RefSeq and is a predicted model, not a curated record.
UUCUUCUUUCACCUAUUGCAGAGCCGAUUUGCUGAUGCUUUACUGCGAGAACUUGCAGGAGUUACAAUACCGCCUGAAAGAAUAUUUGGUCUUGGAAGUGGUCCCAAGGUAGAAGUAUUGAAGCAGCUUCAAAAGAAACCAGAACAUCAGGGGCUGAAACUGCACUUUGUCGAAGAUCGACUGGCAACCCUAAAGAAUGUGAUCAAAGAACCUGAAUUGGAUGGUUGGAAUUUGUAUCUAGGGGAUUGGGGGUACAAUACACAGAAGGAGAGGGAGGAGGCAGCUACAAUUCCCAGGAUUCGGAUCCUUGAGCUUUCUGACUUCAGUAAGAAGUUGAAGUAGCUGUGAAUGUAUUCAUUCAGUUAAACUGGAAACGACAAACUUCGUUGUCGGAGACUUAGAAUCUUACAGUCAGAAAUUUUAUGUACUUCCUCUGUUGUAAUCUGUUGAACAGAAUUUGUCUCCUUUCAAACAAAGAAGCUGAGUAUUAUUGAAGUUGCUUCUGGUGAAA